CUCUCCACUAACAACUCACAUAAUCCAUGCUAAGACCAGCCUACCAUAUUUUCCCAAGACCCAAAAUGUGCUUUCCUACUAAGAAAAAGAAGUGUACAGAAUUUACAGCUGUAUGAUAAGGGACCCAGAUAGAAAUCUAAUCUCCAAAAGAAUUACACCACACAAAAAGAAUUUACUGCUGUAUGAUGAAGGCUCCAGAUAGAGAUCUAAUCUCUACAAGAAUUACACCACAUGAAAGAGCACAUCACUCCUGUCAGGACUGCCGCCUGCGUAAAAGAGGGUUUGAGCGCGUUGCCACACUCUUCUACACAAAAAAUACCACUCAAGGAUUUUCUAAAGGGUAUAGGAGCAGCAAUCAAUGCUUCACGGGUGGCUGUACCUCCUGCUCCUAGGCUUCUCGCACAUCAGGAUGCCAUGAAGCCACAACUGGGGACUUUUUUAAAGUCCUGAAAUGAGGAAAAUCGGGUGAAGCAUAUUAGCAAAGAAGGAAUAAAGGAGGUUGAAGGGGACAAACUAGCAAGACCAAGAUCUUUAGGAUAUGAGAGGACUGGAUCCAACCUUUCAUACACACACAUGUAUAUAAAGCAAGAGUAAAUCAGAGCAACCUGUCUUCCUUUAAAAAUGUGAAGAUGGCCUCUCAUGGACAUAUCUCCCAAGGCAAAAAUAUGAUGAGGGGUUUACACUUAAGUCCCCUGAGGAGUCAUCCUCUCCUGAGAGAUCAGAAGGUCCAAGACUUCUGGCUGGAAUACAGAGUCAAUGGUGUCCUAUCUAGAAAAUGUAUAGGGAAAACAGGUUACCCAAAUUAAAACCACAGGCUUUGCAAAAGG
Molecule: long non-coding RNA, 827 nt
Organism: Alligator mississippiensis (American alligator)
Lineage: Eukaryota; Metazoa; Chordata; Crocodylia; Alligatoridae
Exons: 5
Source: RefSeq, a predicted model, not a curated record